GGAAAAUUGAAUAGACAUCUUGUCAGGAAUGCCUUUGAGAAUUAAUAGGGCUGUCAAAAGCUGUAAUAGGGGUGCUUUCUCCCAUUUUGCGUGCUACUAUUCUCUCCAUACCUUUUCCAGUUCAUGAUUAUGCAUUUGCUGUUCAAUCCAGCAGACAGACACGGGCUUCUUCCCUGUCACCGUCUCCCGCCAGCUGCUUUGUUUCUGCAGAGCUGGCUGCUCCCUUGAAAGGCUUCCACUUUUGUCCUUGGCCUGCCUGACUUCUUUUCCUCAGAUUCCUGGUUGCUGUGCCAAGGGCUGGCGCGGAAGUCCCUUCUUUUCUGUGUGCUGCAAAGAUGAAAGUGACAAAAUGUGUGCUGCUGAUGCUGCAGCUCAAGAGCAUGAUUGGGAAUGUGGUGCCCCAUGA
This 406-nucleotide long non-coding RNA is filed under the name Phasianus colchicus (ring-necked pheasant). Its description in RNAcentral is "lncRNA (ENSPCLG00000010653.1)". Lineage: Eukaryota; Metazoa; Chordata; Aves; Galliformes; Phasianidae. The record is from RNAcentral.